UACGAAGGUGGCAAGCGUUACUCGGAAUUACUAGGCGUAAAGGGCAGGUAGGUGGCUUGGUAAGUCUGUUGUGAAAGCUCCUUGCUUAACGGGGAGAGGUCAACAGAUACUGCCAGGCUUGAGUCUAGGAGAGGGUACUGGAAUUCCCGGUGUAGCGGUGAAAUGCGCAGAGAUCGGGAGGAACACCAAUGGCGAAAGCAGGUACCUGGACUAGUACUGACACUCAGCUGCGAAAGCUAGGGGAGCAAACAGG
This 253-nucleotide ribosomal RNA is filed under the name uncultured bacterium. Its description in RNAcentral is "partial 16S ribosomal RNA". It matches the Rfam family "Bacterial small subunit ribosomal RNA", at positions 524 to 776 of the family's 1533-position model. The record is from RNAcentral.